GUGAGCAAAGACCCAGGGUACCCGGUACCGGACCCGGAACCGGUUAGGAUCCGCCGGGUCCGGACCCGGAACUGGUCCCACCGGUUCCGGGACCGGGUCCAAAAUGUCGGACCCGGUUGUAACCGGUUCCGGGACCGGGUCCUAAAAUUUCGGACCCGGUACCCACUGGGUACCCGGUUUAAACCAAUUCCAGUUCCGGGUACCCGGUCCCGGAUCCAGACAAUCCGGGUACCCGGAACCGGUACUGAUUUAGUUAUAAAAAUUUUUUUUGUUUUUUUAAAAAACCCAACAAUUAUGGCCCAACCUAGCCCAAUAUUCCAGAUUUUACCCUAAGUAUAUAAAGCAAAAAAAAAAAAAAACCCUAUUCUAUCCUCUUGACUUCAGACACUCACUUCUCAGUUCUCACUUUCUCACCCUACUCUGCUUCUCUGCUACAGUGGUACUCACCACUCUCACACUCUCGCUCUCCUCUUGACUGUCGACCACCGUUCACCGUCGAGCGUUCACUUCUUAAUUCCUCCAAAGGUAAUUUUUAAACUUUGCAUAUCAAAUUAUCAAUUGCGAAUUUGCGAUUAUGUAUUUAUUCGGUUUAGAUCUGAAAAACGAAAGCUAAUUUUUAGGGUUUUAAUCAUGAAUAGUGUUAAUUAUGAAAAUUACUAUUAAAGAUGAGUUUGAAUCAUGAUAAAAUUACAAAUUACAAGUACAAAUUAGUUAAACAUUCAGAUUUGUUCCUUCCCUUGAAUUCUCUAGUAUUUUGGGUGAAUAUAAACUCGAUUGUGUUGAUUGUGCUUCUUCCCUUUCGUUUUAACUUAUGUUUUUUUUUUUAUAAAAAUCAUAUUAUCGAAGAAGAAUCGUGGGGUUUAAUACUUUAAUGGGUUUAAUCGUUUAUUCUCAGAUUUCGCAAGUUUAAUGGUUUUUAUUCUGUUUAUUUUGCUAUUUUUUAGGCAUUUUUAUUGCGUAAUCUAUUGAAUUACUGAUCUUUCAGUUUCUAGGUUUUACUUUGAUAUGUUGUGAUGUUGUCAUUGUGUCAAGUGUCUUGAUCUGUUUAGUCUCAAGGUUUAAUGUAUUGAUGUUGUUCUGCUUCUUUGCAUUGCUGUUGUGUUGGUGUCAAGUUUCAUGAAUUGAUUUAGUUUAUGGGUUUAAGCUAUUUCUUGUUUUAUUGAGCUGGUCUUUUCUGAAAUUUGUAGUUGUGGAGAAAGAUGUAGAUGGUGAUGCAUGUGCAGGAACUACAGUUGGAUUUCUAUGUAGAAUUUUGGGUUGGUGGAAAGAAAAAAGUGACAAAUACAAAGUAUUGUCAACAUUGGCUAAGGACAUUUUGGCUAUACCAAUUUCUACGGUUUCUAGUGAAUCCGCAUUUAGUACAUCGGGUCGCAUACUUGAUCAAUUUCGUAGUAGUUUGGGGCCAAAUAUGGUGGAAGCUUUAGUUUGUACUCAAGAUUGGUUAAGGGCGUCAAAUGUAUGCAUUGAUAUUGAGCGCUUCCUUGAGGAUGUUCAAAAAUAUGAAGAAGAAUUGGAUGGUAGUGACACUGGCAUCACACAAGUUAAUGAAUUUGUUGGAAAUAAUUGAUGUGACAAAGGUUUGUAUAAUUGUAUUCUUAAUUAUAUUGUAUGAAAAGAUAUCAAAUGACAAAUAUUCUAAGGACAUUUUGGCUUUUGUUUAUAGGGAAUUUGUGCUUCCUUGUUGGCUGCUGCCUCUUUGCUUUGUUGUCUGCUGUAUGCUGUCUUUCUCCGUUGCUUAGAUGGUUGCUGACUUGCUGCUGGUCUUGUUGCUGGCUGAUGGUGUGCUCAGCUGCUGCCUGCUGAUGGUGUGCUCAGCUGCUGCCUGUUGCUGCCCUUCCUUUUCUUCCCUUUUUUUUUCUGAACUUUUAUUUAAGUAGUUGUUUUGGUUAUGUUUGGAUGUUUGGACUUUGCAGCAUUGUUGAAGUUUGUUGUACUGAUAUUUUAGGUUGUUGAAUUGGUACUUUUUGGCUUAUUAGUUUGUAAUAUUUGUAUUUUGAAAUAUUUGUAUUUUGCUAGCCUCCAAAACUAAUUUAGGGAUAUUAUUAUGUUAA
Molecule: long non-coding RNA, 2051 nt
Organism: Chenopodium quinoa (quinoa)
Lineage: Eukaryota; Viridiplantae; Streptophyta; Magnoliopsida; Caryophyllales; Amaranthaceae
Exons: 2
Source: RefSeq, a predicted model, not a curated record